UGAGGUCGAUAAAUAUUUGGAAGAGGAACUUGAGCGACCAACUGAGAAUUUUGAUGUUUUGGGAUGGUGGGCUAGUAGUGGGUGCAAGUACAAGAUCUUGUCACUCAUGGCUCGUGAUGUGUUAGCUAUACCAGUUACCACCGUUGCUUCUGAGGCGGCAUUUUCUAUAGGAGGUCGAAUUUUAGAUCCUUUUAGAAGCUCACUAAGCCCAAGGAUGGUCGAAGCAUUAAUUUGUCUCAAUAACUGGUGGAGCGGAUCACAUCAACCCAUCAUAACUCGAGAAUAUAUGGAAGAAGAAGAAGCGCUUCAAACAUCAGAGUAUCUUGAGUCAGAGAUGACCAAUGAUCCUACAAGUGCUGGGCCUGGGCCAGCUUCAUCCUCCGUCAAUUUUCAGUCUUCAGCCUCAUCUGCAUCUGCUGCACAACAAUCUACAAAUUAAAAGAAUUGCAAUUGCUUGAAUGAAGGAAAGGAAAGAAGGAAAGGGCAUGGACUUUUGCUGGUCAUGUAUUUUGAACUUUUAUAGACUUAAUUUAAUGUUUAUGGUUGUAGACGACUUAUGGACUUUAUUUUGGUUUUGUGGUUAACUAGUUAUGUACUUAAAGUUUAUG
Humulus lupulus (European hop) is the source of this 608-nucleotide long non-coding RNA. RefSeq lists it as uncharacterized. Lineage: Eukaryota; Viridiplantae; Streptophyta; Magnoliopsida; Rosales; Cannabaceae. The transcript has 3 exons. The record is from RefSeq and is a predicted model, not a curated record.